This 2890-nucleotide ribosomal RNA is filed under the name Vibrio parahaemolyticus. RNAcentral describes it as "23S ribosomal RNA". It matches the Rfam family "Bacterial large subunit ribosomal RNA". Lineage: Bacteria; Pseudomonadati; Pseudomonadota; Gammaproteobacteria; Vibrionales; Vibrionaceae. The record is from RNAcentral.
GGUUAAGUGACUAAGCGUACACGGUGGAUGCCUUGGCAGUCAGAGGCGAUGAAAGACGUAGUAACUUGCGAUAAGCCCAGAUUAGGUAGUAACAACCAUUUGAGUCUGGGAUUUCUGAAUGGGGAAACCCACGUGCAUAAGCACGUAUCCUUACCUGAAUACAUAGGGUAAGGAGGCGAACCGGGGGAACUGAAACAUCUAAGUACCCCGAGGAAAAGAAAUCAACCGAGAUUCCGAAAGUAGCGGCGAGCGAAAUUGGACUAGCCCUUAAGCUUUACACGCGUUAGACGAACGGUCUGGAAAGUCCGACGAUACAGGGUGAUAGUCCCGUAGUUGACGACGUGUGUUCAGUGAAAUCGAGUAGGGCGGGACACGUGAUAUCCUGUCUGAAUAUGGGGGGACCAUCCUCCAAGGCUAAAUACUACUGACUGACCGAUAGUGAACCAGUACCGUGAGGGAAAGGCGAAAAGAACCCCUGUGAGGGGAGUGAAAUAGAACCUGAAACCGUGUACGUACAAGCAGUAGGAGCAGGCUUGUCCUGUGACUGCGUACCUUUUGUAUAAUGGGUCAGCGACUUAUAUUCAGUGGCAAGGUUAACCAUCUAGGGGAGCCGUAGGGAAACCGAGUCUUAACUGGGCGUUCAGUCUCUGGAUAUAGACCCGAAACCAGGUGAUCUAGCCAUGGGCAGGUUGAAGGUUGAGUAACAUCAACUGGAGGACCGAACCGACUAAUGUUGAAAAAUUAGCGGAUGACUUGUGGCUAGGGGUGAAAGGCCAAUCAAACCUGGAGAUAGCUGGUUCUCCCCGAAAGCUAUUUAGGUAGCGCCUCGGACGAAUACUACUGGGGGUAGAGCACUGUUAAGGCUAGGGGGUCAUCCCGACUUACCAACCCUUUGCAAACUCCGAAUACCAGUAAGUACUAUCCGGGAGACACACGGCGGGUGCUAACGUCCGUCGUGGAGAGGGAAACAACCCAGACCGCCAGCUAAGGUCCCAAAUUACUACUAAGUGGGAAACGAUGUGGGAAGGCUCAGACAGCCAGGAUGUUGGCUUAGAAGCAGCCAUCAUUUAAAGAAAGCGUAAUAGCUCACUGGUCGAGUCGGCCUGCGCGGAAGAUGUAACGGGGCUAAGUAGUAAACCGAAGCUGCGGCAAUAUACUUUUGUAUAUUGGGUAGGGGAGCGUUCUGUAAGCGGUUGAAGGUGUGUGGUAACGCAUGCUGGACGUAUCAGAAGUGCGAAUGCUGACAUGAGUAACGAUAAAGGGGGUGAAAAACCUCCUCGCCGGAAGACCAAGGGUUCCUGUCCAACGUUAAUCGGGGCAGGGUAAGUCGACCCCUAAGGCGAGGCCGAAAGGCGUAGUCGAUGGGAAACGGGUUAAUAUUCCCGUACUUCUUACAAUUGCGAUGGGGGGACGGAGAAGGCUAGGUGGGCCUGGCGACGGUUGUCCAGGUUCAAGUGCGUAGGCUUAAGAGUUAGGUAAAUCCGGCUCUUUCUAAGGCUGAGACACGACGUCGAGCAUCUACGGAUGUGAAGUCAUUGAUGCCAUGCUUCCAGGAAAAGCCUCUAAGCUUCAGAUUGUAAGGAAUCGUACCCCAAACCGACACAGGUGGUCGGGUAGAGAAUACCAAGGCGCUUGAGAGAACUCGGGUGAAGGAACUAGGCAAAAUGGUACCGUAACUUCGGGAGAAGGUACGCUCUUGAUGGUGAAGUCCCUUGCGGAUGGAGCUGACGAGAGUCGCAGAUACCAGGUGGCUGCAACUGUUUAUUAAAAACACAGCACUGUGCAAAAUCGUAAGAUGACGUAUACGGUGUGACGCCUGCCCGGUGCCGGAAGGUUAAUUGAUGGGGUUAGACUUCGGUCGAAGCUCUUGAUCGAAGCCCCGGUAAACGGCGGCCGUAACUAUAACGGUCCUAAGGUAGCGAAAUUCCUUGUCGGGUAAGUUCCGACCUGCACGAAUGGCGUAAUGAUGGCCACGCUGUCUCCACCCGAGACUCAGUGAAAUUGAAAUCGCUGUGAAGAUGCAGUGUACCCGCGGCUAGACGGAAAGACCCCGUGAACCUUUACUACAGCUUGGCACUGAACAUUGACCCUACAUGUGUAGGAUAGGUGGGAGGCUUUGAAGCACGUACGCCAGUAUGUGUGGAGCCGUCCUUGAAAUACCACCCUUGUAGUGUUGAUGUUCUAACGUCGACCCCUAAUCGGGGUUGCGGACAGUGCCUGGUGGGUAGUUUGACUGGGGCGGUCUCCUCCCAAAGAGUAACGGAGGAGCACGAAGGUGGGCUAAUCACGGUUGGACAUCGUGAGGUUAGUGCAAUGGCAUAAGCCCGCUUGACUGCGAGAAUGACAAUUCGAGCAGGUGCGAAAGCAGGUCAUAGUGAUCCGGUGGUUCUGAAUGGAAGGGCCAUCGCUCAACGGAUAAAAGGUACUCCGGGGAUAACAGGCUGAUACCGCCCAAGAGUUCAUAUCGACGGCGGUGUUUGGCACCUCGAUGUCGGCUCAUCACAUCCUGGGGCUGAAGUCGGUCCCAAGGGUAUGGCUGUUCGCCAUUUAAAGUGGUACGCGAGCUGGGUUUAGAACGUCGUGAGACAGUUCGGUCCCUAUCUGCCGUGGGCGUUGGAAGAUUGAAGGGGGCUGCUCCUAGUACGAGAGGACCGGAGUGGACGAACCUCUGGUGUUCGGGUUGUGUCGCCAGACGCAUUGCCCGGUAGCUAAGUUCGGAAUCGAUAACCGCUGAAAGCAUCUAAGCGGGAAGCGAGCCCUGAGAUGAGUCUUCCCUGAUACUUUAAGUAUCCUAAAGGGUUGUCGGAGACUACGACGUUGAUAGGUCAGGUGUGUAAGUGCUGUGAGGCAUUGAGCUAACUGAUACUAAUUGCCCGUGAGGCUUAACCAU